This 207-nucleotide ribosomal RNA is filed under the name uncultured bacterium. RNAcentral describes it as "partial 16S ribosomal RNA". It matches the Rfam family "Bacterial small subunit ribosomal RNA", at positions 524 to 729 of the family's 1533-position model. The record is from RNAcentral.
UACAGAGGGUGCGAGCGUUGUCCGGAAUCACUGGGCGUAAAGGGCGCGUAGGCGGCCCGGUAAGGUUGCGGUGAAAGCCCGGGGCUCAACCCCGGGUCGGCCGUGGCAACUGCUGGGCUGGAGCACAGUAGAGGCGGGUGGAAUUCCGGGUGUAGCGGUGGAAUGGCGUAGAGAUCCGGAAGAACACCGGUGGCGAAGGCGGCCCGC